AAUGCACCAAUUUGUAAGUCGCUCUGGAUAAGAGCGUCUACUAAAUGAUGUAAA
Salmo salar (Atlantic salmon) is the source of this 54-nucleotide non-coding RNA. NCBI's taxonomy places the organism in Eukaryota, Metazoa, Chordata, Actinopteri, Salmoniformes, Salmonidae. The record is from Rfam.